UAAAGUCAUUUAUGGCCGAAAGAAGUCUAGGCUGAGAUUCGGAGAAUAGUCGAUCACUAUAGAAAAUCAGCUGAAUAGUCGAUCACUGUAGAAAAUCAGCUGAUAGUGAAGCUCAGAGAGCGUUUGGAGCAGUCUGGUAGAUGAAUGGAGGAGCCCAUUAUUGGAGAAGUCCGAAUGAUAUUAUGGAAGCUCGGUCGGUCGGGAG
This 205-nucleotide long non-coding RNA is filed under the name Elaeis guineensis (African oil palm). Its description in RNAcentral is "long non-coding RNA (EGUI_LNC055225)". Lineage: Eukaryota; Viridiplantae; Streptophyta; Magnoliopsida; Arecales; Arecaceae. The record is from RNAcentral.